AUACAGAGGGUGCAAGCGUUGUCCGGAAUUACUGGGCGUAAAGGGCGCGUAGGCGGUCCAAUAAGUAGGGGGUGAAAUCUCACGGCUCAACCGGGAGGCUGCCUUCUAGACUGUUGGACUUGAGCACGGUAGAGGCAGAUGGAAUUCCCGGUGUAGCGGUGGAAUGCGUAGAGAUCGGGAAGAACACCAGUGGCGAAGGCGAUCUGCUGGGCCGUUGCUGACGCUGAGGCGCGACAGCGUGGGGAGCAAACAGGAUUAGAUACCCUGGUAGUCCACGCCGUAAACGAUGGGCACUAGGCGUCGGGGGGAGCGACCCUCCCGGUGCCGUCGCUAACGCUGUAAGUGCCCCGCCUGGGGAGUACGGCCGCAAGGCUGAA
RNAcentral lists this ribosomal RNA (377 nucleotides) under uncultured bacterium. RNAcentral describes it as "bacterial SSU rRNA". It matches the Rfam family "Bacterial small subunit ribosomal RNA", at positions 523 to 898 of the family's 1533-position model. The record is from RNAcentral.